Diceros bicornis minor is the source of this 401-nucleotide long non-coding RNA. RefSeq lists it as uncharacterized. The transcript has 3 exons. The record is from RefSeq and is a predicted model, not a curated record. Lineage: Eukaryota; Metazoa; Chordata; Mammalia; Perissodactyla; Rhinocerotidae.
UCAGCAUGCUCACACCAGGCCACAACAAUGGCCGCCGCCAAUGUCCCAGUCCCUGGAGAGGUCUCACCCCUCACCGAGAUGCACUCAGGGCCUAUUAGAUUUUUGCAGCGAGAGCCUCCUCAACACUGUGUCAGCCUCAGACCCAACUUCCUCUGCUGAACACAGCCAGUUCCUAGAGAAGAGAUGGGCUCAGCCCCGCCACGUCCUCGCUCUGGGAUGCUGGCUGACUCGCCUCUGUCAGCCCCGGUUCUUUCCCUGUCGAAUGAUCGUGUCCCUCCUGGGAGCUGUCAGGCUGAGUGUGUGCAGUGCCUUUAGGCCCCCUGAGUCCUUAGCAGAGAUCCGUGUGCUUGGCCUGAGCACCUGCAGGGAUGGAGCUGUCAUCCCCCUGGAGGGGGCGCUGC